Molecule: ribosomal RNA, 467 nt
Filed under: uncultured bacterium
Lineage: Bacteria
Description: partial 16S ribosomal RNA
Rfam family: Bacterial small subunit ribosomal RNA
Source: RNAcentral
ACGAACGCUGGCGGCGUGCUUAACACAUUCAAGUCGAACGGAAAGGCCCUGCUUUUGUGUGGUGCUCGAGUGGCGAACGGGUGAGUAACACGUGAUUAACCUGCCCUUGACUUUUGGUUAACUUCAUGAAACUGGGGCUAAUACCGGAUAGGAUCUCCUUCUGCAUGGUGGUGCUUGGAAAGUUUCGGCGGUUGGUGAUGGACUCGAGGCUUAUCAGCUUGUUGGUGGGGUUGUGGCUUACCAAGGCUUUGACGGGUAGCCGGCCUGGGAUGGUGACCGGCCACAUUGGGACUGAGAGAGGGACCAGACGCGAACGGGAGGCAGAAGUGGGGAAUAUUGCAGAAUGGGCGGAAGCCUGAUGAAGAAACGCCGCGUGCGGAAUGACGGCCUUCGGGUUGUAAACCGAUUUCGACUGUGACGAAGCGUGAGUGACGGUAAUGGGUAAAGAAGCAACGGCUAACUACGUG